Molecule: long non-coding RNA, 720 nt
Organism: Sarcophilus harrisii (Tasmanian devil)
Lineage: Eukaryota; Metazoa; Chordata; Mammalia; Dasyuromorphia; Dasyuridae
Exons: 2
Source: RefSeq, a predicted model, not a curated record
AGUAACAGCGGCAGCUCCUGUCUGCUCCCCUUUGCCAAAAGCCCUAAUUGGCAAUGCUCUGGGGCGGGGAGCCCCUCCGCCUCUCCGAGAACAAUGGCGUGACGCCGCUGACAGCUGGAAUGUACAUUCUGGUGUUUGCAUGCUUCACAACACGAGUCACUCCGACACACCAGACUUCAUUAACACGAGAAUAUAAAUAAGCUUAUUCCUUCUGCUCAACAAGGAGAUGCCUUCUCUCUCCAGUCCGUCAUUCAUAUGUGCGCGGACAUAUCUGAUGGGCAUAGUGUGUGUGCGUGUGUGUACACACAUCCCCACACACAGAGUAAAAAGACAAUAGAAAGAGGGUCUGGGGGGCUUCCUGGCGCAAUCCCGGGGGCAGAAAAGCCGGAACCAGCAGGAAACUUCAAUUAUAGAGGGACAGAGAAGAUCUUGAGAGACCCGCAGCUUCGGGAGUAGGGAAAGGAAAAGAAAGGCAGGCGGUAAUAGCGGAACGGUUUUGGAGUUCUCCCUGGUUUAAGUCCCUAAAGCUACCAUUCUGAUCCAAAUAAGCAUAUGGGGAAAAGGCUCAGGUGCCUCCUCUAAGAUUGAAGGGAGAGAAAAAAGGAGAUCUUCUCUGAAAUGUCUCUGAAAAUGUUCCUUUGGAAAACCAUGCCUGUUCUCCAGGGGCCCAGGAGAGCCAGACAUCCAUAUUCCAUUCUCAAAGCUAUAGGAUGCUGGGAA